AAACCAACAGGGAUUGCCCUAGUAACGGCGAGUGAAGCGGCAACAGCUCAAAUUUGAAAUCUGGCCUUCGGGUCCGAAUUGUAAUUUGUAGAGGAUGCUUUUGGCGCGGUGCCUUCCGAGUUCCCUGGAACGGGACGCCUUAGAGGGUGAGAGCCCCGUACGGUCGGACACCUAGCCUCUGUAAAGCUCCUUCGACGAGUCGAGUAGUUUGGGAAUGCUGCUCUAAAUGGGAGGUAAAUUUCUUCUAAAGCUAAAUACCGGCCAGAGACCGAUAGCGCACAAGUAGAGUGAUCGAAAGAUGAAAAGCACUUUGAAAAGAGGGUUAAAUAGCACGUGAAAUUGUUGAAAGGGAAGCGUUUGCGACCAGACUUUUUCUGGGCGGAUCAUCCGGUGUUCUCACCGGUGCACUUCGUCCAGUCAAGGCCAGCAUCGGUUUUCGGAGGGGGAUAAAAGCUUAGGGAACGUAGCUCCUCCGGGAGUGUUAUAGCCCUUCGCAUAAUACCCCUCCGGGGACCGAGGAACGCGCUCUGCAAGGAUGCUGGCGUAAUGGUCGUCAACGAC
This 561-nucleotide ribosomal RNA is filed under the name Endocalyx cinctus. RNAcentral describes it as "LSU rRNA". It matches the Rfam family "Eukaryotic large subunit ribosomal RNA", at positions 62 to 648 of the family's 3401-position model. The record is from RNAcentral. Lineage: Eukaryota; Fungi; Ascomycota; Sordariomycetes; Amphisphaeriales; Apiosporaceae.